GAUGGCGCUGCCUACCGAGUGUCCCAUGUGCUAUUUCCGGUCGUACUCGGAAGCAGGAUUCCCACCUGUAGCUGAUUCGGUUGGUGGUGGCAGGCGGUGUGAGGUUUCUUAACACUGCUCCUGGCGGAACCAGUCAGUAGCCAGCAUGUCUAACAGAAACAAUAACAAGCUGCCCAGCAACUUGCCGCAGUUACAGAAUCUGAUCAAGCGGGAUCCGCCGGCCUACAUCGAGGAGUUUCUACAGCAGUAUAAUCACUACAAAUCCAAUGUGGAGAUUUUCAAAUUACAACCAAAUAAACCCAGCAAAGAACUGGCAGAGCUGGUGAUGUUUAUGGCACAGAUUGGUCACUGCUAUCCAGAACAUUUAAGUAACUUUCCUCAAGAGCUGAAAGAUCUUCUUUCCUACAAUCACACUGUCUUGGAUCCAGAUCUUCGAAUGACAUUUUGCAAAGCUUUAAUCUUGCUGAGAAACAAGAAUCUCAUCAAUCCAUCAAGUUUGCUAGAACUCUUCUUUGAACUUCUGCGUUGCCAUGAUAAGCUUCUGCGAAAGACUUUAUACACACAUAUUGUCACUGAUAUCAAGAAUAUAAAUGCAAAACACAAGAACAAUAAAGUGAACAUAGUGUUGCAGAAUUUCAUGUAUACCAUGUUAAGAGAUAGCAAUGCAACUGCAGCCAAGAUAUCUUUGGAUGUGAUGAUUGAACUCUACAGAAGAAACAUCUGGAAUGAUGCCAAAACUGUCAAUGUGAUAACAACCGCGUGUUUCUCUAAGGUCACUAAGAUAUUAGUUGCUGCUUUGACAUUUUUCCUUGGGAAAGAUGAAGAGGAGAAACAGGACAGCGACUCAGAGUCUGAGGAUGAAGGACCAACAGCAAGAGACCUGCUAGUGCAAUAUGCCACAGGGAAAAAAAGUUCCAAAAACAAGAAAAGGUUGGAAAAGGCUAUGAAAGUGCUCAAGAAACAAAAAAAGAAGAAAAAACCAGAGGUGUUUAACUUUUCAGCUAUUCAUUUGAUUCAUGAUCCCCAAGAUUUUGCAGAAAAACUACUAAAGCAGCUAGAGAGCUCUAAGGAGAGGUUUGAGGUGAAAAUGAUGCUCAUGAACCUCAUCUCCAGAUUGGUGGGAAUUCACGAGCUUUUUCUCUUCAACUUCUAUCCCUUUGUGCAAAGAUUUCUGCAGCCCCACCAAAGAGAGGUAACAAAGAUUCUUCUGUUUGCUGCCCAAGCAUCUCAUCACUUAGUACCCCCAGAGAUCAUUCAGUCAUUGCUCAUGACUGUGGCCAACAAUUUUGUCACCGACAAGAACUCUGGGGAGGUCAUGACAGUAGGAAUCAAUGCUAUAAAAGAGAUAACAGCUCGAUGUCCUCUAGCCAUGACUGAAGAACUUCUCCAAGACCUGGCUCAGUAUAAAACACACAAAGAUAAGAAUGUGAUGAUGUCUGCUAGAACUUUGAUUCAGCUCUUCCGAACACUGAAUCCUCAGAUGUUGCAAAAGAAAUUCCGGGGUAAGCCUACAGAGGCCUCCAUAGAAGCAAGAGUGCAAGAAUAUGGAGAAUUAGAUGCUAAAGAUUACAUUCCAGGAGCAGAAGUUCUAGAAGUUGAAAAAGAAGAGAAUGCUGAAAACGAUGAAGAUGGGUGGGAGACCACCAGUCUCAGUGAGGAGGCAGAUGCCGAUGGUGAGUGGGUUGAUGUGCACCACUCUUCUGAUGAAGAACAGCAAGAAAUCUCCAAGAAGCUCAACAGCAUGCCCAUGGAUGAGCGGAGAGCCAAAGCUGCGGCCGUUAGCACUAGCCGAGUUUUAACUCAGGAAGACUUCCAGAAAAUCCGCAUGGCCCAAAUGAGGAAAGAACUUGACGCUGCACCAGGGAAGGCCCAAAAGAGGAAACACAUUGAAAUAGAUAGUGAUGAGGAGCCCAGGGGUGAGUUACUUUCUCUUCGGGACAUUGAACGCCUUCAUAAAAAACCAAAGUCUGACAAGGAGACAAGACUAGCAACGGCAAUGGCUGGGAAGACAGACCGAAAAGAAUUUGUGAGGAAGAAAACCAAAAUGAACCCAUUUUCUAGUUCCACAAAUAAAGAGAAGAAAAAACAGAAGAACUUCAUGAUGACGCGGUAUAGCCAUAAUGUCCGGUCAAAGAACAAACGUUCCUUCCGAGAAAAGCAGGGUGUACCAGAGUAUAUUUAAAAUAUAUUCUGAAGGAUCACCAGGAAAUCAAGUUAGGACGAAACAAGUGUUCCUAAGUUGCUAGCCAAAGAUGAGCGUGCCAGACCGACAUGUUAAUGGGCAGCUUUCCAGGGCAGUGUUUCAUUUGUGCGGCCACCCAGGCAGUAGCAACUGAAUUAAGCUGGCAUUACGAGAUGCACUUUUGAAAAAGAGAAAAAGAAUGAAGUAACCUCCAAGCAAGUUUUCCAUUCCAAGAAAAAUGCUACAUUUGUAUCGUUAUUUUGAAAAUUAAUCAAGAAUGAUUGUUUACAUUAAAAAGUCCCAAAGUACUGUAUUGUGAAAAACACAGUAAACUUGGUAGCAACUUGGCAUUAUUGUUUUGGAGAUGGGGAAUGGUGGGAAUGUUUGAAAUGUAAACAGUAGUGGUGGUGGUGUAAACUCAUUUCCAUUUGGCAUUCAUGCAAAAAAAAAAAUGUUUUGUGCCUACUGUCAUUGUAGAUAUAAAAAUGAAUGAGCCAUAACCCCUCACAGAAGGCAUUCACAGCCUAUUUGGGACAUAGGAGGGGGCCGAUGUGUGUUGUAUGUGUAUUUAUAGCGCAGUGUAAAUAGUUCUCUAGUAGAGAUAGGUCCCUGCUUCUCUGGGGUCAUAGAGGACUCUGCAGGGCAUGGGAGUUACAUUUUCUCUUAAAACAGGACAAUGUUACAAGAGUAAGAGAUUCUUACUUGUAUAUAGGCUUACCUGCUGAAAACAGGUCCUUGCUGUACAGAUUUUAUGUAGACAAUUUAGCUCUUUUAGUCCAUCCAAAAAACUGUAAGUAUUUUUUUGAAUGCCAGGUAUAGGCUUUUUGGUUAAGACCUCGCUUUUUAAAUUGCCUUAAGUCUAAAUAGUAAUCUUGGAGUGUUUUUUUAGUUUGUCAUUUGAGCCGCCACAGAGGAAAAAGAAAUCAGAUUGGUUUCUUUAGCCUGCCAUCAUGCUGUAAUAUUUUCAGCCUACUGUGCUUUGUCUCAGCAAAAGGUUCCUAAUGUCAGAUAGGUUCCGUUGUGUGUGUUGAGUGCUGUGUUGGUCUCCCUUCCCUGGGCAUGUUUGAGUAGAUUGCAGGGGACACAGAGCCCUGGUCAGUCUCUCUCUGCAAGUUGUUGCAUUUGGAAAUAGUUUGGUGCCUUUGCCUCAGAUUUCUUAGAUAGGAAGAUGUGGUAGAUGAGAAAAUUGUUCUAUGUUACUUUAGAAUAAAAGACAAUUUUCUGCCCACCCAGAAUUAGAAAGUAGCUUCUAAAACCACUUCUCUUGUUCACUUUCUGAGUUCACUUUUGGUUUUAUUUGGAAGAAAUUCCGUGACCUUCCCCAAAGAUGCCCCAGGUCACUGGAGAUAGUUGUGAAAAUCUUGAAGUUUAAUGAUCAAAUUGUACUGGCCUGGUGAGAGGGGCUCUCAGAGUCAACUUUGGCAGCUUCAGUGUUUGACAGGAAGUGUCCAGUCCAAAUUUGAAUAUAUCAGACCUGAAACUGCUCUCUUUCUCACUUUCUUUUUCUCUUUCUCUUUCUUUCUUUCUCUUUUUUUCUAUCUCUAACUCUCCUUCCUUCCUCCUUUCCUUCCUUCCUCCCUCCCUUCCAUCCUUCCUUCCUUCCUUCCUUCCUUCUUUCUUUUUCUUUGCACUUUUGAACUGGGUGUCUCCUCAUGUGUCUAGCUCCAGAGAGGUAAAUAAAAUUCAAAAUGGCUGGGUCACCUGGGUGGCUUAGUCAGUUAAGUGUCUGACUCUAGAUGUCAGCUCAGGUCGUGGCCUCAUGGUUUGUGAGUUUGAGCCCCUCCCAGGCUCUGCGCUGUCAGCAGAGAUUCUCUCUCUCUCUGUCUCUCUCAAAUAAAUAAACUUAAAAAAAAAAUUCAAACUGUCAUAGCAGUUAGGGUUCACAGCUUUGCUGCAUGACUUGUGAUUGUGCCUGGAAGUUUCAUCCUUCUGGAUUUUCCUACCCAACGUAGAGGCCGGGAGGCCAAAACAUCCAUUCUGUGCUCUGACUUCUUAUCUAUUGUGUCUUCACCCUGCUCUUAACUGAGGUUUAUAUGCAAGACAGAAAAAUACCUGGUUUAAAAAGGUGCAAGUCUUGGGGCGCCUGGGUGGCUCAGUCAGUUAAGCGUCCAACUUCGGCUCAGGUCAUGAUCUCAUGGUUUGUGGGUUUGAGCCCCGCGUUGGGCUCUGUGCCACAGAGCCUCUCUCAAAAUAAAUAAACAUUUAAAAAAAUGUCUCUCUCAAAAAUAAAUAAACAUUAAAAAAAAAAAAGGUGAAAGUCUUAUUUCUCUAAUCCCAAAGUAUCUUAAUUCUAUCUGAUUCCUUUUAUUUUGUAAAUUUUACCUUGAGAAUAUUUUCUGUGAACCUGAAGAUCAGAUUCUUACAAGGUUCAAUGCUGUCCAUGAAGGCAGAGUGACCUUCCAGAGUCAUUUUGACCUUGAAGAGGUCAUCAGAGUCUGAGCCUCAACUUUUCAAUGUCAGUUUUUUGUCAGUACUAAGAAUGGAUCCAUUUCAGGGAUGAACUCCCAUUUCCAAGCUCAUACUAUGUAUAUAAAGUGAUGUAUAAAUCUAGAAUACUGAUAUAUUUUGCAUGUGAUCUCAGCAAGUUACACGAAAGGCAGAAUCUGUUCUCUGCCAUAUCCCAGUGCUGGUUCAGUGCACAGUAUGUUAGGUGCUCAAGCAAAUAUUUGAAUACAUGAUUUAUUCCCUGUCAGUUUUCUCUAAGUAUAAUACCACCCACCUCAUUGUUUUGACAAUUUUGAGAAUGUUACAAGCACUUAGCAUAUUUGCCACAGAAUAAGCAUUCGGUAAAUUUCUCAUCAAAGAUAGAUAUUAAGUUUUUAUUUUUAUUUUUGGCUUAAUCUUGAAAUGAAACAACAAUUACAGUUGCUAUAAAUAUUUAUUUUACCAUUCAUCCAUUUUGGGGAGAGUUUGUUUGAAAUAUAAAAAAUGUAAAAUGCAUGAGGUAUGGGUGGCAAACACAAUGUUUGUGCCAUGUAGAAACCUUUGAUCCGAUUAAGGAAAUAGGCUUACAAAAUGACUAUCUAAUGCAAGCUGCUUAUGGAACUAUCAAAAAAGGCACAGCAUAGGGCUGAGGGCAUCCUAAAAAGGGGGAAGUUCAGGUGGCAGGAGGGUGAAAGGCUAUUUGCUAACAAACUGAUGCUUAUGAUGAACAGGAAAGCAAUAAGAAAUAAAUUACUGAAUCAUAAAGGAAAAGUUACAGUUUAAAAGGUGGUAUAGGGGCGCCUGGGUGGUGCAGUUGGUUAAGCGGCCGACUUCGGCUCAGGUCAUGAUCUCACGGUCCGUGAGUUCGAGCCCCGCGUCUGGGCUCUGUGCUGACAGCUCAGAGCCUGGAGCUUGCUUCGGAUUCUGUGUCUCCCUCUCUCUCUGCCCCUCCCCCACUCGCACUCUGUAUCUCUCUCUCUCUCUCAAAACUAAAGAUUAAAAAAAAGUGGUAUAUAAUUUCUUGAAGGUUAUAGUUAACAUAAACUUUGUUUUCAUUACCUCAUAUUCUAAUUCUUUGAGAAUUUAUAAUCUACUUAAAGUGUCACAUGGUGACUCAGAAUUAAUCAGAAUAUUUAAUUAGAAUAUUCUGUUCUUCAAACUAUUUUAGAUAAGCAUAUUUAAACUGUGUUACCAAGGAUAAUAAAGUUCUACCAAGUGACAUUCUUUCAUUGUAUAAAAAUAAAAAUAAAAAUUCUUUUUUUUUUUUUUUUUAGAAUGUAUUUUAUGAGAUUUUUUUUAAAGAUCUUGAAAAUGAAUAGAAAAGUAAGGCACUGACAUGGAGCCUUUUCUCUUUUAUAAGGAAAUAAAGUUUUCUCUCCUAGUACAGUCUUUGGUCAGUACUUAUUUAAAAAUGUAGAUGGGGGGGCGCCUGGGUGGCUCAGUCCGUUAAGCGGCCGACUUCGGCUCAGGUCAUGAUCUCACGGUCCGUGAGUUCGAGCCCCGCGUCGGGCUCUGUGCUGACAGCUCAGAGCCUGGAGCCUGUUUCAGAUUCUGUGUCUCCCUCUCUCUGACCCUCCCCCGUUCAUGCUCUGUCUCUCUGUCUCAAAA
Molecule: RNA transcript, 6214 nt
Organism: Panthera uncia (snow leopard)
Lineage: Eukaryota; Metazoa; Chordata; Mammalia; Carnivora; Felidae
Gene: SDAD1
Gene name: SDA1 domain containing 1
Exons: 23
Source: RefSeq, a predicted model, not a curated record